CCUUAGGAAAGACAGCAUGGAGUUGGAAGAGAAGCAGGGAUCUCCACGAAGGGCAGUCAGUUAUACUCUUGUACCAAAUACUAUAUUCCUCAAAACUUCUUAAUGGCACUGAGGCUUUGUGGAUAGUUGGUCACAUGAGAAAAUUAAGCUGGAGUGGGCAUUUGCUGCACAGCUACACAUUGUGUGGACUUGAGAAUACCUCAAGAGCUGAAAUGCUGAACUACAGCAACAGAGUAAGUUUCCUUCUGUGCACUGAGAAGAAAAGCAAAGGAAUGUGCCUGAACGUUAAGCAUGUUAGUUGUAAGUUUGUGAGAUCUUUUUUUCUGUUGCUGUUUGCACUUGGCUUGUAUCAUGACUGUCCUGUCUUCAAACUGGAUGUAGCAUGUCUUUGUGUCGAAUGAGGCACUCCUCAUAAUCUAACGUCAUGAACAUUGUUUUUCUUCAACCCUUAAAAGUCAAAACAUGGCAGCAUAGAUAGCUGUAAUAAGUUAAUAAUAAAUGUGACAUGAAAGAAUUUUCUCA
RNAcentral lists this long non-coding RNA (522 nucleotides) under Manacus vitellinus (golden-collared manakin). RNAcentral's name for it is "lncRNA (ENSMVIG00005008305.1)". Lineage: Eukaryota; Metazoa; Chordata; Aves; Passeriformes; Pipridae. The record is from RNAcentral.